CCCUUAGAUGUCCUGGGCCGCACGCGCGCUACACUGAGUGUCUGAGAUACGAGUCUGCCUGGUCCGGCAAGGUCUAGGUAAUCGCUAAAAGACACAUCAUGCUUGGGAUAGAUUAUUGCAAAUAUUAAUCUUGAACGAGGAAUUCCUAGUAAGCGCAAGUCAUCAGCUUGUGUUGAUUACGUCCCUGCCCUUUGUACACACCGCCCGUCGCUCCUACCGAUUGAAUGUUCCGGUGAGCUCUUCGGACUGCGCGGUCUGCAGUUUCUGCGUUCCGUGCGGAAAGUUGCGCAAACCUUAACAUUUAGAGGAAGGAGAAGUCGUAACA
RNAcentral lists this ribosomal RNA (325 nucleotides) under uncultured eukaryote. RNAcentral describes it as "partial 18S ribosomal RNA". It matches the Rfam family "Eukaryotic small subunit ribosomal RNA", at positions 1470 to 1796 of the family's 1831-position model. The record is from RNAcentral.